Molecule: long non-coding RNA, 6227 nt
Organism: Siniperca chuatsi (mandarin fish)
Lineage: Eukaryota; Metazoa; Chordata; Actinopteri; Centrarchiformes; Sinipercidae
Exons: 3
Source: RefSeq, a predicted model, not a curated record
AACAAACACAACAGCAAAGUAACAUUUCUUAGUUUAAUACACACAUGAUGAAGGUCUUUACACGCAUUGAUGCAGUCAGACUUUUUCGACAGGAGCGCGUGAUCGGUUGCCUCUUUACCAAUCAGAGCCCUGGAUUCUCUCUCUGUCCAAUAGUGAGGUGCGUGGGCGCUCCGCGGCACAGUGACGUUAGUUAACUUUCUAUUGGCCUACCUCUCACACCGCGCUGUCAAGGUGUUGCGAUGGUGUACCGACUCGUUUUGACAAAUGUGCAUAAAACCGUUCAGAUCACACAAUACUGACAACAAUACGUCAGGCUAUAUGUGGUAUAAAAGAUUACAGACACAACGGCGUAAAAUAGACUUUUGCCCACCUUCACUUUUACGUGUAUGAAUCAACAGGAGAAUGCAGCAGCCCUGGUCUCUCAUUUAUGUGGACUUUAAGGGGCGGCGUUGCUGUAAAUGAAGAGACAGCUCAGCCCACAUUGUUCAGUUCUCCACGCUAGAAACCGUCUGUGGCGCAUUAAAGAGAAGCAGACUUUUGCCUCCGUGCGGAAACUGACAGAGGAGCCAGUGGCGCACCGGAGCCCGAGCUCUGCCGCCUCCCUGCUCAGGGAGUGUGUCUGUGUGUGUGUGUCUCUGCGCUUUCAUGAUUAUGUGCAUGUCUUGAGGUUUCCCAUGGAAGACAAAAGAAUGACAACAGUACAAUAUGACCAAAAGCGUAUUUAUUGACAGAGUGACAGAGUGAAUGUUUCUCUGUGCGGUUGUGUCUCCUGGUCUCAGCGCCAUCCGCAGUAUUCUCCAUGUGCACACCGGCAGAACAGUCUGUACAUUGUGUUCCUGUGGUGGUGAUGCCUGCAGCGGUUAGAGAGCCUUUAGCUCGGGCCCCCUUCAGCUCUGUGUGACGACUGUGUCGUCAUGUGACCGGUUCGGUCUCCGCAGAGUUUCCCGUCGAAGCUGUUGAAGCAGAGCUCUCUCAGCGCGCACAGACCGGCCGCGCCGCACACGUCGCAGAUGUCGCUGUGACCGCACUCUGCUACUCUGCUCCGCCGAUGUUGAACAGCGCCAUCAGCAGUCUCGUGAUGGAUAUCACAGCAAGCCUCUCUUCUCUGGGACCGUAAAGGAUAACAACCAGCCCGAGAGGAUCCUCGUAGCCCAGCCGUGCAUCGCACCGAGAGACGAAGCUGAACAAAAACAGCUGGAGUGCAGCUGUGAGCCUUCCGAUGGUUCCCGACAUAGUUUGCUGUAGUUUGGAAGUCUGAGCAGUUGUAGCGGGAGAGCAGAGUUAGAGCUGGACUGAAAGGGAACGAUCAGUUCAGUGUUCUUAUAGAGGGAAACUUCGGCUUCUUAUCCCGGGAUUCCUUAUACCGACAAUUCAACUUUCGGAGUUUAAAUGUGAAAUCCGAAAAUGUGAAAAUAUCGCAAGUCGCUAAGACAGCAGAAUAUGUUUUCUUGUUGACGGGUUGCCCGCUGGAGGGUCUCAGUAUCCAGUCUGUCGGUGUUCUCCGCUUCACAUACGCGCCGGAACGGCUGCUGUUUGAGCGGCAACGGAGGCAUUAAUACUUCAAACUGAGACUCCAACCGAGGCUUCUCCAACCGAGGCUUCUCCAACCAACAACCCCCGCCCCUGUGUCCGGUGUUCAGCCGGCGCUGUCUUGGGUAUGUCUGCCGAUAUGGAUCCUGCGAUCGAAGCUCAUCUACUGGCCUGGGGCUUUGGUGACCACAUCCAGGCGAUCCGGGAGAAAGCGUUUGAUAUGAAAAUUGGACCUGCUACAAAGUGGAGAGCACAUGCUGAGAAGUACUAAGCAAAUCAAGAUAUAAUACAGCUGCUGCUGACUUGUCUGCGUUCACGGGCACUUUAAGGACAACUGAACUCGUACUGCCGAAUCCGUUCGUGUAGAGAGAGCAGCGGUGCAGCCCGUCCUCUGAGGAAGAGUGGGAGUGUUCAUUCGCGCAGCCACAGCUUCGGGAAACCAGACAGAAGCAGACAGCACGGAGACUUGAAGCGCACGGUCAUCAAGCGGCUGCUUUCACACACUGUGUAUCUGUGAUGUCGACGUUUGGUGCCGAAUCUUGGUCUGAAGACACGGAGGUGGAGUGUGGAAGCGGGUGCGGUGACAUCGGCUCCACCAGACUCUGCGAGCUGCGCUCUGACUUCCGCGUACAUCUCCAAAGAUUCUCCGUGGAUGGACACCGCGGACACCGAAGAGAUGAUUACACCGCCUCGGGAGUCGGAGCGGAGCUCUUCGGCCGAAGAGACAGACUGAAAGACAGAACACUUCGCCCGCCACCCAAAGUUUGUUGGACUUUGACACUUGAAGACCGCAAAAUAUGUUUUUCCCUGUUUACUUGACGGGACACAAAAAGAGUAACUAAUGAUGAACCGAAGUAUUCAGUCGUUUGUAGUUUUGGUGGUCAGCGACUUUAUGAUUCUUCGGGAACAAGUGCGGUACAACUGCCAGCUUCAGAGUCCGGCAAACUAUGGAUGGAGGAAGGUGGAGGUUUCUUCGUGCGCUCUCUGAAAUGCCGCUGCUCGGCUCGACAUGAGGCGGGCCUUUGAGGAGCAGCAUGGGCUGCCUGUUGCCGUUUGCCGGGACGCAGAGAGACUUGCUGUGUUCUGCGGAGGAUUUUCUCCUUCCGUGGUGGAGCAGCGCAGCGUCAGGCUGAGAGGCAGGAGGCGGGGAUCGAACCGCUGAAUAAGAUCCCGAGCUGUGCCUGCGCGGGUCACAUGUGCGCUCCGGUACUUGCAACUGUACAACAGCACAGAUACAUAGAUUAUUUUAGGUCACAAAAAGUCCCGUCAGACAAAGAAUAUGGGAAAGACAAUACAAACUUAUUUUUUCCACAAAUAUCAAUAGUGUCAUUUGGAGGUCAAACAAUAUAACAACCUGCAUUAUAUUUUAUUUAUUUAUUUUAUUUUCAUUAUAUUGUUCAGUGGAGGUGCGAGAGACCAAACCUUCCACACAGACAGUGCCGAACGCACCAUCCAUAGUGUGGCUGCAGGGCCGCACCAUUAUUAAGAUAGCAUCAGGUAGAUAAGAUGUACCGUGGGGCAAAUUCAAUGUGACACAGUAGCACAAGGCGGUGUAGUAAAAAAGAUCAUAUGAAAUAGGAAUAAUAUAUACAACAAAUAGAUCUGUGUGUCUAUACAUGUGCAAUGUUUCUAAAAUACAGCUAUACACUCACAGCAUCUGUUUGUACAUACAUAUGCAAUAUCUGUGGUGGUGACAGGUUAACUGUGGGUGGUGUACGGUUUCGAGUCUGAGUCAGUGGAGGUGCUGGGUGCUGUGGCGUUGUGGAGAUGAUGGCACGAAAGAGCUACGCGCUCUGAUGCAUCACCCACACGCAAUUCGUUUUGGAAAUAAUCUGUUAGCGAAACCAUUUCAGAAGAAAUGCAUCAGUGGAUCUGGAUGGUGCGCUUCUAUGCGCACAAUAAUUCCGCUACUGCAAAUGUUGUGAGACUUUACAGGACAGAACAUAUUUAUUGUUUAUACAUUUAAUUUUAAUUUGAACUUUUACUUAAGACAAACGUCCCGACAGCUCACUUUAUAGGUCUGUCUUAUUCGACUUGUAUUUGUGACUUCUAUGUCCGCAGAUUUGUGUUUGUUCUGUUCUGUUACUGUAAUAUGUUGUCAUGUCUCGCAUUAUGUCUUUUACGAAAGUGGCUGGUCUGACAUGGUGUUGUGUUUUCACUGCCAUACUUGGAUCUUAGCUCGUCAUCGACUGGUGGAAGCCUUCUGUGAGCCGUGCGUGAACGUACCUGCUGCUGAUUUGUCUGCAUUCACAGGCGCUUUAAGGAGUGGCACAGCUUAGAGUGCUGAAAGAAGGGAGAUUACUCACCUCCCAUUUUUAUGAUAGAAACCGAAUGUGGUGCGCAUUAAAGAGAAGCAGGCGGAAUGACUUUGGCCUUCUCUUUUUUGCUGUGCUCAUCCGGCUACACUACUGAGGUGUCUUCAGACCAAGAUUCAUCACAGAACAUCGACAGCGACACAACAGCACAGAUACAUAGCUGAGAUUAGGUCACAAAAAAUCCCGUCAGGCAAAGAAUAUGGGAAUUGAAAAAAAGAAAGAGAGAAAAUAAAUACAUAUUAUUUUCCAAAUACAAAAACUAAUAAUAGAAACUACAACAUUAAUAAUCAAACAAAUACCAAUACAAUAUAUUUGUAGGUCAGUCAAACAAUAUAAUAGCAUGCGUUAUAUUGCUCACUGGAGGUGCAGAGAGACUGUUUAAAUCCUGUCCAAAUCUUCCACAGAGAUCAACACAGUCAGUGCGGAACCCACCAUCCGCAGUGAUGUCACCGACUCACAGCGAAGAGGCCCACUAGAUCCCGAGCUCUGCCAUCUCUCUACUCAGCACGGUCCUGAGUAUAAACGCACAGUCAACUGCCCGCUGCCCCGCUCCAGUAAGUGAUCGACAUCAGGAAAUGGGAAGAAGAAGUGCUAUAGGCUAUUCGUCAUUCAGCAGAGGAGUUGAAGGCAGCUUGGACAGGGCCAACGAACUUAAUCUGUUCUUUAACAGAUUCCAUGCACGGGCUCCUGCUCAUCCCCCCUCUAACUCAGCUGCUGUCCUCUGAGUCCACUGCUCCCCUCUCCUCCAUCUUCCUGGGAGAGUCCUACUUCCCCCUCAACUGGCUCUCAGGCUAAAAUGGGAUGCUAAAAGCCUGUCCCCCCCCAGCUAUGUGGAGUCCUUCAGCAUGUCUUCAACCCGAGCCUGAGUCUUCAAAGGGUCCCUAUUCUGUGGAAGACAUCUUGCCUCGUUCCUGUGCCGAAGACGCAGCGUCCCAGUGGCUCCAAGGACUACAGACCGGUGGCACUGACCUCCCAGAUAAUGAAGACUCUGUAGAGACUGGUGCUGGAACAGCUGCGGCCCAUGGUCAGACCCCUCUUGGACCCGCUUCAGUUCGCCUACCAGCCCCGGCUGGGAGUUGAGGACGCCAUCGUCUUCCUGCUGAACCGCAUCUACACUCACCUGGUGGGGAACUUUGUCUCAUGUUGUGAGCAGAACUAUCUGUAGCUCAAUGCGACAAAGUCUAAGGAGCUGGUUGUAGACCUACAAAGGGCCAAGGCACCAGUGACCCCGGUUUCCAUCCAGGGGGUCAGUGUGGAUAUCAAGCUCUUUACAGGAAGGGCCAGAGUCGCCUCUAUUUCCUGAGGAGGAUGAGGUCCUUCAACAUCUGCCGGACAAUGCUGAAGAUGUUUUAUGAGUCUGUGGUGGCCAGUGCUAUCCUGUAUGCUGUUGCAUGCUGGGGCAGCAGGUUGAGGGUAGCGGACUCCAACGGCUCAACAAACUGAUCCGUAAGGCCAGUGACAUUGUGGGGAUGGAGCUGGACUCUCUGUCAGUGGUGUCAAAGAGGAGGAUGCUGGCCAAACUACAUGCCAUCUUGGACAGUGUCUCCCACCCACUCCAUGACGUGCUGGUCAAACAAAGGAGCACCUUCAGCGAAAGACUCAUCCCCCCAAAAUGCACCACAGAACGCCACAGGAAGUCAUUCCUGCCUGUGGCCAUCAAACUCUUUAACUCCUCCCUCUAAGUGUCGGGGAAACUAGCAUUGAUAUUACUCAACUGGACAUUGGAUCAUUAACAUUACUGCAAUACCUGAAAUAUUGUGCAAUAUUCUCAAUAUUCUCCUACUCCUGUGCAAUAUACUCUGUUCUCAGUUGAAUUAUUCCAUGUUUUUUUUAUAUUUAUUAAACUAUAUUACUUCCUAAUAAGCUGGUUCAAUCUGCUACACUCAACUUGACAGUGCACAUGAUUGCACUACUAUUACUAAUAUUAUUACAUUGUACUGUACACUUACUUAGCUUUAUACUUCAUACCCACCUGUACUUAUUUUGAUUAGGUGUAUUAUAGUGGAUCAUAUUUCGACUUGCUUGCAACAUCAACACAGACAUACAAAGACUGGGACAGUAAGCCACCAGGACAGCUGUGACCUGGAUCUGGAUGGUGCGCUUCUAUGCGCACAAUAAUUCCGCUACUGCAAAUGUUGUGAGACUUUACAAGACAGAACAUAUUUAUUGUUUAUACAUUUAAUUUUAAUUUGGACUUUUACUUAUAAGACAAAUGUCCCGACAGCUCACUUUAUAGGUCUGUCUCAUUCGACUUGUAUUUGUGACUUCUAUGUCCGCAGAUUUGUGUUUGUUCUGUUCUGUUACUGUAAGAUGUUGUCAUGUCUUGCAUUAUGUCUUUUAUGUAUUGGAAAAGUUAAUAAAAACAACUUGAAUUACAAAAAA